AGACUAUGGUGUGAGCAUUUUCUAAGAUGUUCCUUAAGUCUCUCCCAUGACUCAUAAAUCUGUUCUCCUGGAAGUUGAGAAAAUCUAGUGAUAGCUCGUCUCAUGGU
Molecule: small nucleolar RNA, 107 nt
Organism: Elaeis guineensis (African oil palm)
Lineage: Eukaryota; Viridiplantae; Streptophyta; Magnoliopsida; Arecales; Arecaceae
Source: RefSeq, a predicted model, not a curated record